Sphaeramia orbicularis (orbiculate cardinalfish) is the source of this 172-nucleotide long non-coding RNA. RefSeq lists it as uncharacterized. The record is from RefSeq and is a predicted model, not a curated record. The transcript is spliced from 3 exons. NCBI's taxonomy places the organism in Eukaryota, Metazoa, Chordata, Actinopteri, Kurtiformes, Apogonidae.
CGUGUCCUCCUCCCACGGAGCUGGGCUCGUCCGUCCGCCCGCAGACAUGAGGGAUCCACGGGUCGAUGUGGCGCUGAUGUUCGGUCUGUUCCUGGAGUGUGUCGAUGCUAAGAAGUACUGCUGGUAUUUCGAGGGUGGAUACCCCAUCUACUUUAUAUGUCGUUCCUAUGAG